RNAcentral lists this non-coding RNA (74 nucleotides) under Pseudooctadecabacter jejudonensis. RNAcentral describes it as "Singlet oxygen resistance RNA X". It matches the Rfam family "Singlet oxygen resistance RNA X". Rfam says of the family: SorX (RSs2461)like SorY is a singlet oxygen induced sRNA that counteracts oxidative stress by targeting mRNA for a transporter in Rhodobacter. It also has an impact on resistance against organic hydroperoxides. Lineage: Bacteria; Pseudomonadati; Pseudomonadota; Alphaproteobacteria; Rhodobacterales; Paracoccaceae. The record is from Rfam by way of RNAcentral.
AUCAUUCGUGAGGCGAGAUGAUCGUUUCAUACCUCCCUGUUGGACUUCGCCGGGCCUCGUGCCCGGCUUUUCUU